Long non-coding RNA from Phyllostomus hastatus (greater spear-nosed bat), 1317 nucleotides. RefSeq lists it as uncharacterized. The transcript has 3 exons. Lineage: Eukaryota; Metazoa; Chordata; Mammalia; Chiroptera; Phyllostomidae. The record is from RefSeq and is a predicted model, not a curated record.
CCUUGGGCCUGAGGCAGGGGCGGGGCGGACCGGCCUUUCCCUCCCCCGCAACUUUCCUCCUUCCUUUCUUCCCAGGCACCUGCAGCAGGCUACACCGGCCAGCCACCCAAACUCCUCUGCCUGCCUGACCUCACAUCCUAGACGGACGGUCAGAGCCGCCGGCCUCUCGGGCCCAUCCGAUCUGACACUUGGCUUUGCAGGAGGAGGGACACAGGCCCUAAGCAAGAGGCUGACCGACUUGUCCAAGGUCACGUGGCACAUGGCCCAGUCCAGACCUUUCUCCUUUGGGGAGAAACAGCACAGCUCAAGGUCUGGUUGUAGAACUCGGGGCCAGAUCUUCCUGCCCCAAUUCUGCUUGGGGAGCCGCAGGGACCGGAGGGGGGGCCUGGGGCCUGAUCGCCUGAGACCCUGCACGGGAGGGAAGGGCAGGAACCUCCGCGGCCGACCAUCCAGGCCCUGACUGGCGGCAGGGCGCCCAAUUCAAUUUGCUUAUCUCCCUUCCUGCCUCUCUCUUUCCUGUGCUCUUCAAUUACAGGCAGAGCCCGUGUCUUUUCCAAUAAGCACACAGAUGUCACAGGGUCUGCGUGGGCGGGGACGCAGGGCGUCCUCCAUGGCUCCACACUCCCUGGUCCCAGCCUUGGACCAGGACGGACCGGCCUAGGUCAGCGUGCCCAGGCCCUGCCCCCAGCCAGCUGGCCGCAGAGGGCCAGGCAGGCAGCCCGGGCAGCUGGACGGCAGCAACCAAAGGUAAAACUGCACAGAUCUUGUCAGCUAGCGAGUCCCUUCUGGAACGGACAGGUAUAUGCAGAUGUACACAGAUGCUCAUUACAACGCUGUCCAGAAACGCGAGAGACUAGAAACAACCUAAACGUCCAUCCACGGGAAGGUUACAAAUGUUAGCAGCCUUGAGCCGUGCCAUGGAAAUGGUGAAUGAGGCCUCGUCCUGUCAGGGCGAACAUCUGGAAGGCAGGCAGUGGGGGCCAGCGACAGCGAAGUCUGGGCUCUUACAUAAAAGGCGAUGAGCUGGUCGCCCUGGAGGUCACAUCAAGGAGCGAAGUGGGCGGUGCACGAAAGACACUUUUUCUCGAAGCCGCCGGCCCUCCCAGGUGAUCUGGCGUCCUUCCGUUUUUACAAGGCAGGCGCCUUUCUCUAAACCCCUGUCCCUGAGAGAACACCAUCAGGACACCCUCCCAGCCCCACUUCCUGGAAACACCCUGAAAGCGACACGGGAUAAAAACACCAGCUCCAUUUCUGCAAAACUGGGAGAGGGCUACCUCCCUGGACCCACACACACAGAGCAGACAGGCAGGGCCGCCC